CGCUCUCUGAGUAUUUUAUUAGAUAGCUUUAAUAAAUAAUUUUAUAGAGAGUCGGACCUGCCCGGUGACUAAAAUAUGUUAAACGGCCGCGGUACCCUGACCGUGCAAAGGUAGCAUAAUCAUUUGCCUUUUAAUUGGAGGCUGGUAUGAAUGGUUUGACGAGAGCUAAGCUGUCUCUUUUUAAAUAUAUAAAAAUUAAUUUUUAGGUGAAGAGGCCUAAAUUUAAUUGAGGGACAAGAAGACCCCGUUGAGCUUUAGUGAUUUAAUAAAUAUAUUUUAGUAUAUUAGAGCUGCUUGUAUUUUAUUACAUUUAAUGAAAAUUUUAUUUAUUAAUAUAUCUUUAGUUGGGGCGACUGAGGAACAAAUAAAGCUUCCUUGUUAAUAAAGUGAUAUAUAAAUGAAAGCAAUUUAUUAGCAGUGAUCCAAUAUCUAUUGAUUAGAGGAAUAAGUUACCACGGGGAUAACAGCGUAAUCUUUCUGGAGAGUUCUUAUCGAAAGGAGGGUUUGCGACCUCGAUGUUGGACUAAGAUAUCCUGGGAGUGCAGAAGCUUCUAAAGGUUAGUCUGUUCGACUAUUAAAAUCUU
Molecule: ribosomal RNA, 584 nt
Filed under: Turbo heterocheilus
Lineage: Eukaryota; Metazoa; Mollusca; Gastropoda; Trochida; Turbinidae
Description: partial 16S ribosomal RNA
Rfam family: Bacterial large subunit ribosomal RNA
Source: RNAcentral